This 348-nucleotide ribosomal RNA is filed under the name Salmonella enterica subsp. enterica serovar Bredeney. Its description in RNAcentral is "partial 23S ribosomal RNA". It matches the Rfam family "Bacterial large subunit ribosomal RNA", at positions 1273 to 1622 of the family's 2925-position model. Lineage: Bacteria; Pseudomonadati; Pseudomonadota; Gammaproteobacteria; Enterobacterales; Enterobacteriaceae. The record is from RNAcentral.
CUGGAGGUAUCAGAAGUGCGAAUGCUGACAUAAGUAACGAUAAAGCGGGUGAAAAGCCCGCUCGCCGGAAGACCAAGGGUUCCUGUCCAACGUUAAUCGGGGCAGGGUGAGUCGACCCCUAAGGCGAGGCCGAAAGGCGUAGUCGAUGGGAAACGGGUUAAUAUUCCCGUACUUGGUGUUACUGCGAAGGGGGGACGGAGAAGGCUAUGUUGGCCGGGCGACGGUUGUCCCGGUUUAAGCGUGUAGGUGUGUGUUCCAGGUAAAUCCGGUUCACUUUAACACUGAGGCGUGACGACGAGGCACUACGGUGCUGAAGCAACAAAUGCCCUGCUUCCAGGAAAAGCCUCU